AGUUAGAGGGCGCAUUUCGACCUUGUCCUCACUCCUAACCCUUCAGUGACCAUACUGGCUGGGCGAAAUUGAAAAACUAAAAUUAAAGAACUCACAACAACUUGAAACAUGUUGGCAGCGAUCGUGAGUUGUUUCUAUUCCUGCGGAAAUAAUGGUGCCACUUGUGAACUGUGACUAAAUUUUUGCCUUGAAAUUGAGCUUGUGCAUCUCCAGACAAGAUUGAUGAUGUCAGCCGACUCAGCCCCACACAUAUUCCGUGCGACAGUUGAAAGGGAAUCAGACCAAUAAAAGUCUGAGUAGGGCAGGAAAAAUCGCCGGAUGCUUAGGAGCCAGGAUGGAGACAGAGUUCUCCGAAGAUAUUUGUCUUGAAGAAAAAACGAGAUCCAGAAAACCGAGUCCCAGAUUCUCGAGGUAUAAGGAGGACGUCGAGGAAUUUCAAUCGAGGUACGGCUCCCUUUUCAGAGAAAAAAAGGGACGAAAGAUGACUCUUGACAUACGAGCAGUAGGUAAGCAGCUGACAGCGGAUGAGGCGUGCUCCAUGAAAAAGACAUUGGUGAAAUUAAGUAAGCAGUUUGAUAAAGAGGCCAAAAUGGCGCAAAUUGACACCCCUUACUACAAUUGAAGCAAUGAGUUGUCCAAACCACCGUGCGACAAUAUGACAAAACACCAUUCAUAUGAUAACAACAUGUUAUGUUCAUUGACCCUACAUGUAAAUAACAUUUGACCUUUGUCAUGUGACCUGAAACUCGGGCAGGAUGUUAAGGUCAAGUCCACCCCAUAUAAAUGUUGAUUUGAAUUAAAGAGAGAAAAAUCAAACAAGCAUAAUGAGAAAAAUUUCAUCGAAAUCGGAUGUAAAAUAAGAAAGUUAUGACAUUUUGAAGUUUCACUUAUUUAAAAAAAAUUGUUUUAUUCACAACUCAGUGACAUGCACAUGAGAGAGUCAAUAAUGUCCAUCACUCACUAUUUCUUUAUUUUUUGGUUUGAACCAUAUUUCAUUUGUUACCAAUUUGAUAUUAUUGAAAACCAACUUAACCGAACCAUAAAAUGUUAUAACAAUGGUAAUACCACAUGUUCAGGAAGGAAUACAAAUUUGUUUCAUACGAAAAUGAGGAGAAAAUUAGAAUAUUUCAAAUGAUAAAAUACAAAAGAUAUAGUGAGUGAGUGAUGUCAUCAGUUCCCUCAUUUGCAUACCGUACAGGAUGUGUAUAUAACUGUUACGUGAAAUUAAGCGAAAAUUAUAAAUGUCAUCACUUUCUUAUUUUACAUCCGAUUUUGAUAAAUUUUCAGUGUUAUACUUGGAUUUUUCUCUUUUUCUUCAAGUCAACUUUUUGUUGGGGUGGACUUGUCCCCUAGUGAUACACCACUACCAUUAUGUCAAAGUUUUGUGAACUCGAUCCACUACUUCUAAGUAACUUUUAUGAUGACAUUUCACAAACUUAGGGUUAAGGUUUCAGGAUUGCCUCAGUCGCCGCCUCUUAUCAAAUGUCGCCCAUUUGUCAUUUUGAAUUUCAUACGUGCAAAAGUGUGUGGGAUUCCUACAAAAUGUCCUUAAAAUAUCCAUGUUUGGGGUCAAUAUAUACAAACAUUUGAGCUCGCGCUUCGCGCAGUCAUCAUUUGGUUUAUAGUGAAAUACGUAUGGUCUUCAUGAAUUCCUACAAACAAGCUUUACAAUGCUUAUGUCUGAAUUUCCAAAAUUUUCAAAUCGCGCUUCGCGAUCUCAAUAAUUGAUUAGUGCAAUGCGUAUGUUAAUCAUGAUUACAAUGACUUCAUGUGUUUAGAUGUAAUUCUAACAAAAUCAGCAGAACAUGGCACUAGCAUUGGAUGACUAUGGCGAGAUAUAUAUAUAUACUCUUAAUGAAUUCUUAAAAUAUAGUCCUUCAAAUGUCUCUGUUUGUGGUCAAUAUAUACACAAAUUUCAGCUCGCGCUUCGUGCUCGCAUUGUUUGUUUAACGAGACGGGACAAAAAAUUGCUUGAUAAUAUAAUAACCCUUUGAAGUCUGAAUAUGAAAAGUGUUCAACUCGCGCUUUGCGCUCGGAUUAUUUAAUCAGUGAGAUACAUAUCCGUUUAAUGGCACUGUAUGUCCUUAAAAUGUCUCUAUUAGUUCAGUAUAUCUGGCAACUGAGCGCGCUUCGCGCGAUCACUAAGUGACUCGACAUUUUUGCUGGUGCCCCCCCCCCCAAUGCCGUGACCCAAGGUACGCCACUGGGAUAUUAUAUCCCUCGUGAUUUACGCCAGUGAAGUUAAGGCUCAUGAUCCGUUGCGAGUCGAUUUUCAAAGAAAUUGUUUCUAUAUCAUGUGAAAUAAACAUUUCAUAAUUAUUUUCAAAUCCCAAAUCGACCCAUUAAACAGUUUGGUCGUUUUAACAUUUGCUUUUUCAUUAUUUCGUAUUUUCAGCAAAACAUACCGUAUAAAUUUUCAUAAAAUACAAUUUUACGGUCAUCAUGACUGUUGAAGAAUAUUGGAUAAUGAUUAAUUAAUUUUGUCUUAAUGCUCAUCAUGUGUCACAUAAAAACUAUAAGUUUUACAAUGGAGGACUCCUUUGUACAGCAGUUCUUAACUGUUUUUUAUCGAUUGUGGUAGAUUCAAACAUGAAUGAAUAAACAAAGGAAGAAAUGAAUAAAUAAAUAAUGAGACCUAUUUCAUUUGUUUUGUAUCGGAAGGUGUUAUACAUUAUAUUAUUUUCAAAUAUUCAGAUGGAUGAAGAGUAAUGGGAAUUGCAUCCAAAUUUUUUCUCUGUUUCAUAAUGUUGAUUUUGAAGUAUAUUAUUACUGAAAUCGUCUAGGGGAAUUAAGAAAGAUUUUAAGAGGUGCAUGUAUGAUAUAUGGAAUGGACAGAGCAUGACUCGUUUUACGAUAAAUCGUAUUUGAUUAUUUUUUGUCCAUUAAUAGUUACUUCAAAUCAUCACGUCAAUUAUUAUAUUUAUACCCAAAACCUUUUAAUCGAAGAAUCAUACUUUGCACUUAAAUUGCUGAAGAUAAUCAAACGUGUAUUAGUGACCAAUAUUAACUGUUUGUAUAGAUACAUGAAUUUAUUACAAGAUUGAAAUUCUCGAAUAAUAGACUUUAUUAUGUCAUGCUAUAUCAGCAAUCACUGCAUUCAUUAAAGUUACAUCAAUGUUCAAAUCAA
Long non-coding RNA from Lytechinus pictus (painted urchin), 3127 nucleotides. RefSeq lists it as uncharacterized. NCBI's taxonomy places the organism in Eukaryota, Metazoa, Echinodermata, Echinoidea, Temnopleuroida, Toxopneustidae. The transcript has 2 exons. The record is from RefSeq and is a predicted model, not a curated record.